Molecule: microRNA precursor, 67 nt
Filed under: Bombyx mori (domestic silkworm)
Lineage: Eukaryota; Metazoa; Arthropoda; Insecta; Lepidoptera; Bombycidae
Description: mir-2774 microRNA precursor family
Rfam family: mir-2774 microRNA precursor family
Source: Rfam by way of RNAcentral
ACAACGUUCGGCCCGUCGGUCUACCGAGCAAUAUCACCCGCUCGGUGGAAGAUCUUCUCUUUGUCAU